This is a long non-coding RNA of Brassica rapa (field mustard), 5752 nucleotides long. RefSeq lists it as uncharacterized. NCBI's taxonomy places the organism in Eukaryota, Viridiplantae, Streptophyta, Magnoliopsida, Brassicales, Brassicaceae. The record is from RefSeq and is a predicted model, not a curated record.
UGUUAAAAAAUUUAAAUAAAUAUAUUUAUAUUUAAAAUGAAAAGAUAUGAAAAGAUAUUAUGAUUCAAGUAUAGCAAAGAUUCUAUAUAUUAUUUGGUUAAUAAAAUACAUUUAAUAAAAAACUUUAAAUAAUGAUACAAAUUAAAUAAUCACACAUGAAAGAAGUCAUGACUUCUAUUUUAAUAGAUAAGAUUGUGUUGUUAGGAAUUCCACUUUAAAACAAUGUAAUUAAGGCCAGACAAAUUUUUUUAGAAGAUUCAAGUUCAUUCUAUAAUACUAUUGAAUUAGAUAAUCAGCAAAAUAAUAAUAAUAAUAAUAAUAAUAAUAAUAAUAAUAAUAAUAUAUCGAAUUAGUGACCCACAGAAUGUCACGGGUCUCUUAAUUUUUUUACCUUUGUUGGGUUUUUGGAUAAUUUUAAGAAAAUAAUGAAUUCGUUUAUAAAUAUUUUCUUUGACAUUAAACUGGCUCAGUUUGAAACAUUAAAUAAUUUGGUUGUUAGAAAUUUAGCAUUUAAUAUACAAAAAAGUCGAUAUAUGUUGCUUCAAUUACCAAAAAGGUUGGCUCAGACUUCCAGGGUCAUCAAGGGCGAAUCCAACACUAUUAAACCAACUAAUUUAGCUGAUUUCCUUGGAACUUUACAUACAAAACGUUUAUUAUUUAUACAAUUACGGAGGCACAUAUAAAACGUUUAUUUUUACAAAUUGGUUUGAUUUAUUUACUUUUACAAAAUUAAGUUGAUUUAUUUAUUUUUUUUAUUUUUCACAUAGAACUUAUUUUUACUUUAAUCUCUUACGUUAUUAUUCUCUAAUCAGUUUUGUGGUAUUUUAUCGUUUUGAGCAUUAAAGAAUCUUGUAGUACAAUAUUUUAGCUGAAUUCUUUCUGCAAAUAUAAUUUCAUCUUUUAUUUUAAAUAUUUAUAGUACAUUAUAGUUUUAAAUAUUAGUUUAUGUAUAGUACUUUAAUGUAUAUUACUUUUACAUAUAGUAUUUAACUGUUUUUAUAUGUUAUUUCCUAUAAUUUUAUUUUACAAGAUUGUAUUAUUAUUAUUACAAAUAACCUUUAUAAAUUCAGUUCUAAGAUAAAUAGUAUCUUCAACUUUUUCUAAAAAAAAAAUUGUUGCAUAAGCUCCCAUUUCUCCUACUCAACUCAAAUUUACUUGUUUCACUAAAACUUUAAUUCAUAUUUCAAGGAGCAUGAUCGGUGGUACCUCCACGAUGAACAAUUUUUUUCAGCACCACUGUAAUCAAUAUGUUCUUCAGUUUGUUCCCCACUUAAAUAUGGUUUCUUUGGUACGGAUGGUUAAGAGGAAGAACUUGGUGAUGAUAAUCAAACCAACAUAUCUUCAUACCAUGCUUCAGUUGACAAGACAAUAUUGACAAGAUAACCUCCAUGUAUAGUCCAUCUAGACAGCAUCCCAUAAGCAGAUAGGUCACUUAUGGUCCAUAGAAGCAUUGUUUGCAUCAUAAAAUUGGUUUUCGUUAAACAAUCAUAUGUGUUUACCCCUACUAACUACAAGGCCUUCGACUCAUGUGUCAAUGGUUGAAGAAAAAUAUUUCGCGACUGUUUUGGAUGUUUUAGGACCAUGUAUUAAUAUGCUCAUGAAUAGAAAUUCUCAUUCUAUGCACAAAUUCGGUGGAAGGUUAUACAGCGUAAAAAUGACUGGUCAUAACGAAUAUUGUCUCCCAGAUAUUUCAAAUAUACUAAAUCCAUAUGUGCACAACCAAAGAUAAACAUUUCGAUAUUUCUAGCGAAAUCUAGGUAUACAAUAUCGAAAUGUUUCAACACUCUUGAAUCUAAUGGAUGAGUGACCUCUUCAUCACUCUAGACAUGUUCAGCAUGACAUCUCAUCGCUCCAGCAGUCCUUACCGCUUUCCUGCGUGAUCGGUGUACAACCAUCUUUGAACAUGAAUAUCUCCAGUCCGUUGAAAAAUUCCUUUGUCACUCUCAUGUUGGAAUCUUUAUGCGUAUACAUCCAAUUCCAUAACUCGUAUAUAUUGCCAUCACUUGAUAUUUUUUGUGCUUCACGUUCUUAUGUUUUUUUCUUUGGUGUGUAUUUCAAUCUCGAGAAUUUCAUAUUUAUAGAAAAUAUUAGUCACUGGUAGGUAAGAAUUUAACAACUAAUUUGCAACGAAAUUGUUUACAAGUCUUAUACUUUGAAAUAACAAAGACUUUAUGAGGAAAUAAUUUAGGUGUUGCUCACUAAAAACACAUUUUCACCAACCACUUCACUUUUAUUUGAAUCUUCAUCGUUAAACAAAUGUAAAAUCUAUCUUUAUAAAAUACUCCUUCUUUACAACGGCUUUACAAAGAAUCAUUUCAUUCAUCGUAAAAUUAUAUAAGUUUUAAGAUGAAUAUUUCUUCUCGUAAAUUUACUUCGACUUUACGAUGAAUCUAUUUUUCGACGUAAACGAUUCGCUAAAUUGUUGUUAGUUUACGACGAACGUAAACUUUCGUAGUAAAUCGUAUAUUUUCUUGUAGUGGUUGUUCGAUAUAUGAGAUAUCAUAUAUAGAUAUUUGAAUAAAAUAUUUCACCUUCUCUAAGUUAACUUAUAAAAAUACAUAGUAUAAAUAAUUUAUUGUUUAUUUGAUUUAUUAUAAAAAAAUUUGUCAGCAAUUUAUUAUAAUUACAUUCAUAAUAGUAUGUUUUUGAAAUAAUAUAUUUAUAUUUAUAUGUUAAUAUGUAAAAUUAUAAUAUAUUAUAAUACUUUUAAAAUAUAAAUGUUGUAUAAAUAGUAAACUUUUAUAUAUCCUGAAAAUACAUACAGUUUUAUAUCUAUAUUUAUAGAUUAUUGGUUAUUCUAUUAAUUUUGUGUAAAGUUUGAACUUUAACAUUUACAAUUCACUUAAUUUUAUAUAUUUAAUGUUUGUGUUUUCAAACUUUUAUAUAAAUAAUUUUUUUAAUAAAUUUUAUAAAUAAAAAUAAAAUGAACAUUAUGUAGAGAGUUAUUUUCACUUUAGGACACUUCUCAUCUUUUUAUUACAUUCUGAGUCACUUCUUGCUACUGAAACCGUUUAUAUGACUAAAACCCAAAACUAAGUUCAUUUUCUAACUAAGUGGUCCAACAAAAUUUAAUAUGUUGUCACUUUCUUUACCAACCAACUUUUUAGCUACCGACAUAAUUGAAACGAUGGAAGACGCGACAGUAAGGAUGAAACCGAUGCAAAAGAGGCAACCGUUCUCGACGCAAGAGGAGCUUUGGUCUCGACGCAGGCGGAACUGCUACAGUGGGGUCAAAGCUGAUAAUGCCACAGCAGAAGAUUUAGCGGUGAGACGCAGUGGUGAUUUUGCCAUAUUUGGAAAAAAUGGAUUCAACAAAAUAUCACUUUUUAGUUUGAAAUCGAUUAUUUGCAAAUAUAUAUUUUUGCAGCCAAAAAAACAUGUAAACACACAAAAUUAGGUGAUUUAGGAAGAAACCAUGGUUGAUGGCCGUCCAAAAUUUACAGAAACCCUCAACGUUCGUAGGUAAAAGAUGAGUUAGUUACGAUUUUCCCAUUAAUGAAAAAAAAAAAAACAAAUUGAGAAAAAGAGAGUUUGACGAUUCGAACUUGGGAUGCUAUACAUACUCUGCUAUUACCACUUAUGUGUGAACCAGUUAAUAUACAAACAACUUCAUACAACUAUCAAGAAAAAAAAUCAAAACUAAAAAGUAUGCAAGAUAUCACAUUUUGUAAGUAGUAUGAGAUGGUUUAAGAAUUUGAAAUAUUUUUUAAUAAAGAAUUUGAGAUUUUUUUUUGGCAACUACCGGUUCGAAUAAAGAUCACAAAUGUAACCACUUAAAUAUUGUAAUAUAUUAUUUCACUUUAAGAAAAUAACUAGGGAGUCAUGAUAAUCAAAAUACAAAUUUGAACAAAUUUACAUGUGUACAAAGAUUAUAUCUGUACAUGUGUACAUCUUCACAUGUAUACACUAUCUUCUUCUUAAAUAAUAAAGUAGAGUUUUGUCGCUCAUUCCUUGCGCCACGUCAUCAGGUAGAGGAGGGCAAAUUCUGACACGUGGCACUCCCAAAUAAACGGACUGGGCUUUUAUUAAAUUUUGUUAUUAAACCAAGAAUUAUGUCAAGUCCAAAAUUAUGUGAUUAGGGUUAUUCUUCUUCGUCGUUCUUCUUCUUCCCUGCCUCUUCGUUUCCUUUUCCCUGCCUCUUUGCUCUGACAUUUAUUCUGAGUUUUCCAUUCAUCAAUCCACUCUUCAUGCAUUAUGAUUUCGAUCUAUCUCUUCGUUCACCCUGUAAACGCCUCGAACUCCAUCUAUAAAUAUCGGCCCUUGCUUCCAUUCACAUCACAACUCAAACAAUCUACUCAAACAUACGAUCUCCUAGAAGCAACAUAUUCAGAUGGCGAUUAAAUCUCCUAUAGGAAAUUCUCGCCACUGCUCAUCGUUUUGCGAUCUGCCUUUCUAACCAUGUCACUCGAAAAGCCCCUACGGUAAGUCGAUUGUUUCGUCAAUAUUACAUUCACCAUUAACUCUAGAUUUUUUUUUUUGAUCUGUAUUGCAAGUUCUAAUUGUUCAUUUUCAUCACUGUGAAAAAUGUGACGAACGAUUGUUUUAAACAACUGCUUCGCAAGUAAUGUUUAAAGGUUUAUCACUUUUCUCUCCUAUAUGUCUUUUUGUUAGUAAAAAUUUAGGAAAGUGGCCUUUGUAGUGGUUGAUUGCAUGUUUUUCCUCUUUUAUUAUCUCUUUCUUUAGACCUUAAGAUUAUUUGUAUUUGGAAUACAUGAAAGAAUCCUUCACAUUUGUGUGACUCACCAUACUUAUGUUGUGUAUUUAAGUAUCCAUAGAAUAUUUCUCCUGAAAGCUUAGUUUUUUUUUCUGUCACAAUCUACAUGUCCCAUUGCUUCGUUGGACAACUCCUUUAUCUAAGUCAUAUGAAGGUUGUGUCUGUAUUUAAUUUUGAAAGUAAUCGAUUGAUAUCUUAGAUUAACUUUGUAUACAGGUUGCCUUAUACUUGUCAUCUCUUCAUUUUUUUCCUAUUUCUUUAUCUACGAAUCUACUUGAUAUAUAUUUUUCCCUUACACAUGUAGAUUUGUUUUCUGACUGGUACUUGAAGAUAUAACUCUGGUGUAUUGACUUCAGAGUUAAUAGUCUUGGAAAAUAGGACAAACGGUAACUGUAUGUGUGAGUUGUUCUAUGAUACAAGGUUCACCCAACUCAACACUUCCUUCCUUCAUCACCAAGUCUGAGUUAUAGAUAAGGAUGAGAAUUAGGAGAAGCACAAGCCAAGACCAAAACACUAAGGUUAUCUCUCUUUGAAAAACCCUUGCAGAAACGUCUCAUCCAUUAGCUUUCUUAAGGUUCACACAACAACUUAAAGGAGAGCCAGUGCCACAAGAACUGCUAGAUAGACUGUGCGAGCUCAUAGCUGUUCUUGCUGGGGGUGCAGCUACAAAAUAUGAAGCACUGAAGGUACAAAAACUUUGCUACAAGCCUACAACUAAACUUUAAGUCUUCUUUAUGUCCUUUUGUAUCAAGGCUUUAGUUUGAAUUUCUGCUUUUUGUUCCAGGAAGAAGUAUUAGCAAUGAGCCUUCUCGUAGACAAUCCCUUAGCUAGCUGACAAUAACAAACAGCUACCCGGAAGAUGUUAUUGGUGAGCUAAGUACAAUCAGAAGAACGUUCAACACGAUGGCAAAUACCGGAAAAUCGUAUAAUGGCAACUCUACGUAUAGAAAGGUCCUUUGCAUUGUUGAUUCUAUAGUGGUUGUCAUUUUCUUCUACUUGGUAUGCCAUUUUUUCCCUCAUGAUGCCCUAUAUCAUUGA